UUUUUUAUAGUUAAAUGAUUUUCUUUUUUUAAAUUUCAAAGCUAGAGCUUGAGUAAAUAAAUCACUAUUAAAUAUAAUAGAUUUUAGAUUUAUUAUAUUAUAUUCUAUUUUUUUACCUAAAAUCUUAUUUAAUAAUAAACUUAAUUUAUUUAAUAAAGUUAAUUUAUUAAAUUUUAAUUGAUUUAAUGAAUAUAAUAAUUCAUAUUUUCUUAAAAAGAUUAAAUGUCUUUUAAGAAAA
This 238-nucleotide transfer RNA is filed under the name Beauveria bassiana D1-5. Its description in RNAcentral is "tRNA-Ser". Lineage: Eukaryota; Fungi; Ascomycota; Sordariomycetes; Hypocreales; Cordycipitaceae. The record is from RNAcentral.